Molecule: small RNA, 7411 nt
Filed under: Pongo abelii (Sumatran orangutan)
Lineage: Eukaryota; Metazoa; Chordata; Mammalia; Primates; Hominidae
Description: retained intron
Source: RNAcentral
GCGCUGCCUUUCGAUCCCUCCACAUCUCGGUGGCGCGGGCUCUCAAGAUGCGCCUCCACCUGCUCCUGCUGCUCGCGCUGUGCGGUGCAGGCACCGCCGCCGCGGCGCUCAGUUACAGCUUGCGGGGCAACUGGAGCAUCUGCAAUGGGAACGGCUCGCUGGAGCUGCCCGGGGCGGUCCCCGGCUGCGUGCACAGCGCCUUGUUCCAGCAGGGCCUGAUCCAGGAUUCUUACUACAGAUUUAAUGACCUUAACUACAGAUGGGUCUCUUUGGAUAACUGGACCUAUAGCAAGGAAUUUAAAAUCCCCUUUGAAAUUAGCAAAUGGCAAAAAGUAAAUUUGAUUCUUGAGGGAGUGGAUACGGUUUCAAAAAUCCUGUUCAAUGAAGUCACUAUUGGGGAAACAGACAAUAUGUUCAAUAGAUAUAGCUUUGAUAUUACCAACGUGGUCAGGGACGUGAACUCCAUUGAGCUGCGUUUCCAGUCAGCGGUGUUGUAUGCAGCACAGCAGAGCAAAGCUCACACUCGCUACCAGGUUCCCCCAGACUGCCCUCCACUUGUGCAGAAGGGUGAAUGCCAUGUCAACUUUGUUCGGAAGGAGCAAUGUUCCUUUAGUUGGGACUGGGGGCCUUCCUUUCCUACCCAGGGAAUCUGGAAAGAUGUUAGAAUUGAAGCCUAUAAUAUUUGUCACCUGAACUACUUCACAUUUUCUCCACUAUAUGAAUGAAGGAUUAAACUGAAGAUUAAAAGAAAAUUUCCAUGAAGUUUUGAUUAUGACAGCAUUGUGGAGCAUGUACUGGAUAAGAGUGCCCAGGAGUGGAAUCUGGAAAUAGAGUCUGCAUUUGAUGUUGUCAGCUCAAAGCCAGUUGGUGGUCAAGUGAUCGUAGCCAUCCCUAAACUGCAAACACAACAGACAUACAACAUUGAACUUCAGCCUGGGAAAAGGAUUGUUGAGCUAUUUGUGAACAUUAGCAAGAAUAUUACUGUAGAAACUUGGUGGCCUCAUGGACAUGGAAACCAGACUGGGUACAACAUGACUAUUCUUUUUGAACUGGAUGGAGGCUUAAAUAUUGAAAAAUCAGCUAAGGUUUAUUUUAGGACAGUGGAACUUGUAGAAGAGCCCAUAAAAGGGUCUCCUGGUUUGAGUUUCUAUUUCAAAAUUAAUGGAUUUCCCAUAUUUCUAAAAGGCUCAAACUGGAUCCCAGCAGAUUCAUUCCAGGACCGAGUAACCUCUGAGUUGUUACGGCUCCUUUUACAGUCUGUUGUGGAUGCUAAUAUGAAUACUCUUCGGGUUUGGGGAGGAGGAAUUUAUGAGCGGGAUGAAUUCUAUGAACUCUGUGAUGAACUAGGAAUAAUGGUAUGGCAGGAUUUUAUGUUUGCCUGUGCCCUUUAUCCAACUGAUCAGGGCUUCCUGGAUUCAGUGAGAGCAGAAGUUGCCUACCAGGUAUGUUAUUACCCUUCCAAGAAGAAAUAAAACACAUAAUAUGUUUUAGUAUUACCUUUUGUUAAAUCUUGCUUCAUUUUGGUUUUUGUUCUCUACUAAAUCCCAUGAAAAAUUACAUAGCCAGGUAAUUGACAUCCUAGGUGAUUCUACCCAGUGUCAUGGCUUUACCAUCAUCUAUUGGCUGAUGACUCCCAGAUUUAUCCCCAGUCCUGAUUUCUCUGCUGAAUUCCUCUUUCUUAUAUCCAACUGCCUACCUGGUGCCUCUGCUUGGAGGUUUAACAGGCAUCUGAAAUGUAACAUGUACGAACUAAACUUAUAUUGCAUCCUCUCCCCAAUCUUGGCUUCUUCUGAAGUUUUCUUCAUCUCAGCAAACAGCAACACCACUGUUUGAAUUGCUCAGGAGGAAAGUUCAAAUUGAUUAUUGAUUCCUUGAUUUAUUUUAGAUUCCACAUAUUGACAUUUAUAUUUAUAUUCACAGAUAUAUAAAUGCAAGGAAGUGAUUAUAUGCUUUCUCUGUCUGCUGAAAAGAUCUAGAAAUAAUGCCCAACGUUAUAGUGUUGAGUAUUCUUAUAUUGAAGUAAUCUUUCCUGUUAAGAGAAAAGCUUCUUAGAGAAAUGGCUGACUCCAGGUCUGGCACAGGAAAUAUAUUAAAUGAUCCUGGAUAUCUUCUUUUUACAAAUGGCAGUGGUGUUAAUAUAAUAUUAUCAACUGAUAAUUUUAGCCACAGAUCUGACGUUUAUGAGCUGUGUGCUGAAUAUACUUAUUUUUCCAUCAAGGUCUGUUUAGGGGAUGAUCAUGCUUUGAAACACAGAUUGCAUUAUAUUUCCUCUCCCCUAAAUUUUAAGUGCAUGGCAUGGGUUUCCAUGUAGAAUCAGAGUGGGAUGCUUGUCAAUACUAGAAAAUUCUAAAUCAUAAUGUACUCCCAAAAUACAGUUUAGGAACCAACUUGUGAGUGUAUCAUAUGCUAGUAAAAUACUACUAAAACAUUGGGCUGAUUCAUUAGCAUCCAUUAGAAAUGAUCACUGCACCAGGAGAUCACCCCUACCUUGUAAAGAGUUUGCAAGACUGUGGAGACAUAUUGAGUUUUUAUAGUGCUCUGCAACAUGUUAAAGAAGGAAACAAAUCCAUUUUCUCGGUAACCUCAGGUAAAGCUACAAUGUGGAUAAUUAUUGACUCUGAUUUCAAUUUCUCAUGUCCAACUGUCUGCCAGAUUUUUUGCAAUGUUGAUAUACAAAGAACAAAUAUUUUGAUAUUUCUUCUUGAAUGGUAAGUCUGCAACCUUAGGGAGGUCACUUUACCUCUUGAGCCUUAAUUUCUGUAUCUAUAACUCUAGGAUGAUGUCACUCCUCAUGAAACUGUUUCAAAGAUUAAAUAGGAUAAUACAUGUAAGGCAUGCAGUUCAAAAGAAAUAACAAAUAAUAGCAGCUGUCACACUAACUCAGCAUGUCUUUGAAGUACAUCUAUUAUCUUUUACCCAAUGCACUCUUUCAAGAUUUUUCUUUUUAGCAGGAAAUGUGAAAGUCAUUGAUACUUUCUUCUUUCUCACCUCCCACAUCCAUCUGGUUUUGAGACAAUUUUUUGAUACCAAUGUUACUUGUAUUUGUAUUUACUUUCUCACCCCUGUACUUACUACUCUAAUUCAAAUCCUAUUUUUCCCUCUCCUCAAUCAUUGCAUUUGUUUUCUGAUUGGACUCCCUAGCAUUGGUCUCUUUCAAUAUGUGCAUACUCAACAGAGUUGCCAAAGUCAUCUUCCACUGACACAUUUUAAGUCAUACCACAUUCCUGCUCAGAACCCCGAUCCUGGAAUAUCUCAACAUGCAGAUAACAAGGAAGCUAUCGAAGUUAUGUCAAAAGGAUUUUGAGAGACUCCGAGCAACCAAAAGGGGGAUAAUUUGAGAUUCAAUAAGGAUAAGGAUAUCAAUGAAUUGAAUCCAUCAAGUGUGUCUGCAGAUGUAUAUUUUGUGAAAAACCAUACAGAAAUGCAAGGAAGCCAUUUCUAUAACACUAUAAUACUCUAGACAGUGGUUACUUUUGGAAGGAGGAAGGGGCUGUGAUUAGGAAGAGGCACAUGGAUGGCUUCCGGCAUGGCUGCACUGGGUGGUGGCUACAAGGGUGAUUGCUUUACAAUAAUUAACCGUGUCAUAAUUUGUUUUCUGUAACUGUGUUUCAUUUUAAAAUAAAAGGUUUAAAAAGUACAAUUGAACUCCUUCCCUUGCCAACACCUCCCCUGAGGUGGCUUCUUGACCUCUGGAUAAGGUACAAGAUCCUCUUAUGCAGGACUCCAGCCUGCUGGUGUCUGCACCUGUUCAGGCACCAUCUCCGUCUUGCUGUCUAUGUCCUGGAACAUCUUCUCCAUCCACUGCCCUUGUGGGCCACCUCCUUUGUUCUCCUUUGGCCCCUCUUACCUUAAGCAUGGGAAAAACCUUUUGCCUUUUGAGACACACAUCACACUUUGAAUUACUUGUUCAAGGAUUUGUCACCUCUGCAAGAUUGUCAUCUCCCUGAGGCCUAGGACUUAUUCCCCUCUGCGUCCCCACUCUGUGGAUUAUUCACAAAGUGGAUAGAUGAAUGGAUGAAUGAAUAACUUUAAACAUAUUAAUUAUAGUUACACAGGUUGCAAGCAUUUCGGUUUUAUUUUUAGUUUUCUUUCAUAUAAAUAAUUAAAAUAUAACAUCUAUGUAUCUUCAGUUCUUUGAUGCAUUAUUAAAGAUCAGGAGAGCCAUUUCAUGCAGAGUUUGUUAAAAUUUUAAAGUAAAGCUUACCAUAAAACUCUAAGUCAGCUUGACGGUUGUAUGUAACACGGUGCCACUGAAGCUUUUUGCCACUUCAGGAUUUAUAUUUGUAUUUUCAUCAGUGGCAUAAAUAUGUCAGUCACAGUUGGUAGCAGCUGUCCCUUUCUUGGGCAUGUACAAAGACAAAGAAAGGAAACAGUGUUUAUAUGGCUGGCUGAGAAAAACACAAGACUUAAUUUUUUAAAAAAUGAAAUAUAUCUCUUUAAUAUACCUUCAGUGCAUCUCUAUUUCAUCUAUGUGAGUUUCUGAGCUUCUUGAAUGGAGAACACACUGAGAGCAUCAGUUGGGGGCCAUCAGUGUAAUCAUGCAUCACAGCGAAAGUGAACCUAUAAAUAUCAAUGAGGUAACAUUGCCAAAACAUGUUCCAAAAGAAUUUUUCUUGACCAUUGACUCACUCUGCCAUUCUCAGAGGAAUUUAAUUGCUCUCUACUGGGGCACAUGUCCUAGUGUGUUAGAAGAAGGGACAUGUCUGAGUCUGUCCAGUGCAAAAAUAACACAAGUGGAUCCUUUUGCCUUUAUGUAGGGCCAGCUCAGAUGAGCUCAGUUUAUGCAGGCCUCAUGUGGCACGGUUUUCAGGUAGAUUCUCUAAUCUUCCCUUUUAUAUUUAGAUAUAUUCAGUAACUUAAUGUUAGUUGAUUUCUCAGGACAUGACAUUGAUAGUUAUUUCAGGAGACAUCACCCUGAUUGCCCUAAUCUGUUUUCCUUUAGAGUAUUCCAUAUUUGUCUUUAACUGCCAGCAUACCUCUAGUACUCACUUGCUUUGUAAAACCUUCUCUAGUUCCCCUUCUGGUUUUCUGAUCUCAGUGAGGACUGCAUAGGAACCUCCCUCCUUCUUUCAGUGGUAGUGUUUGCUUUGCCUCAUUUGUUUCUUCCCACAGAACUCCAAUUUGUCCAAUUUGCUCUUAAGAACCAAUCCCCAAAAUAUAAUGUCUCCUGCCUUUUGUAUUUCCUGAAAGUUUUCUUUGUGGCAAUCCACAGAGUGAAGAGUUUAUUCAUUCCCCUUUUCUUUCUCUUUCUUAAAAAAGAUUAUAUUACCUUCAGUUUUUAUAUAGCAGAGAAGAGAAACCCUAUGUAUCAGUGUUUAUAAAAUCUAGUUAAAAAGAAUCUCAGAGAUUUCUUAAAAUGUAUUCCUGCAGCUAACAUGACUAGCCAUUUUCAAAUUAGGUUUUUGGCACAUAAGAAUUUAUGUGCAGAAAUGCAAGGGCUCUAAUUUUAUGAGUAAUUAUAGCUCUGAGUUUUUUAUGUUAACUCUUUGAGAAUCAUUUUAUGUUUUCUUAAUUUUCAGAUCAAGAGACUGAAAUCUCAUCCUUCUGUCAUCAUAUGGAGUGGCAAUAAUGAAAAUGAGGAGGCGCUGAUGAUGAAUUGGUAUCAUAUCAGUUUCACUGACCGGCCAAUCUACAUCAAGGACUAUGUGACACUGUAUGUGAAAAACAUCAGAGAGCUCGUAUUGGCAGGAGACAAGAGUCGUCCUUUUAUUACGUCCAGUCCUACAAAUGGGGCUGAAACUGUUGCAGAAGGCUGGGUCUCUCAAAACCCUAAUAGCAAUUAUUUUGGUGAUGUACAUUUUUAUGACUAUAUCAGUGAUUGCUGGAACUGGAAAGUUUUCCCAAAAGCUCGAUUUGCAUCUGAAUAUGGAUAUCAGUCCUGGCCAUCCUUCAGUACAUUAGAAAAGGUCUCGUCUACGGAGGACUGGUCUUUCAAUAGCAAGUUUUCACUUCAUCGACAACAUCAUGAAGGUGGUAACAAACAAAUGCUUUAUCAGGCUGGGCUUCAUUUCAAACUCCCCCAAAGCACAGAUCCAUUACGCACAUUUAAAGAUACCAUCUACCUUACUCAGGUGAUGCAGGCCCAGUGUGUCAAAACAGAAACUGAAUUCUACCGCCGCAGUCGCAGCGAGAUAGUGGAUCAGCAAGGGCACACGAUGGGGGCACUUUAUUGGCAGUUGAAUGACAUCUGGCAAGCUCCUUCCUGGGCUUCUCUUGAGUACGGAGGAAAGUGGAAAAUGCUUCAUUACUUUGCUCAGAAUUUCUUUGCUCCACUGUUGCCAGUAGGCUUUGAGAAUGAAAACACGUUCUAUAUCUAUGGUGUGUCAGAUCUUCACUCGGAUUAUUUGAUGACACUCACUGUGAGAGUCCAUACAUGGAGCUCCCUGGAGCCCGUGUGCUCUCGUGUGACUGAACAUUUUGUGAUGAAAGGAGGAGAGGCUGUCUGCCUUUAUGAGGAGCCAGUGUCUGAAUUGCUGAGGAGAUGUGGGAAUUGCACACGGGAAAGCUGUGUGGUUUCCUUUUACCUUUCAGCUGACCAUGAACUCCUGAGCCCGACCAACUACCACUUCCUGUCCUCACUGAAGGAGGCCGUGGGGCUCUGCAAGGCGCAGAUCACUGCCAUCAUCUCUCAGCAAGAUGACAUAUUUGUUUUUGACCUGGAGACCACAGCUGUCGCUCCCUUUGUUUGGUUGGAUGUAGGAAGCAUCCCAGGGAGAUUUAGUGACAAUGGUUUCCUCAUGACUGAGAAGACACGAACUAUAUUAUUUUACCCUUGGGAGCCCACAAGCAAGAAUGAAUUGGAGCAAUCUUUUCAUGUGACCUCCUUAACAGAUAUUUACUGAAGGAAUCUAGGUUGUAUUUUCAGUGGACAAUGGGAAUAAAGCAUUUCUAAAGCACCGACUGGAGAGGAAGGCAACAGAGACAAGGAGAGAAGCCGAGAGACAUGUCUGCGUGGUGCCACGCAUCUGAGCGAUUGCUCUGUGAAGAGUUGUACACUGAACACUUUCAGGGGAGGCUGUUUACCCAGGCAAUGUCCUCAAACAAGCCUGUGCUGGGGUGUCCUGGAAUCUGGGCCAGGACUGUGUUUUUAGCCCUUCACCUCUCAGCUUUAGCAGGACAUGAACCAGUUAUAACAAGAUGGCCCUGCAGCUGGUUACAAGAAUGUGACAUGGCAGGAUCUAUGGAACCAAAUGGAAGGUUUUGUGGUGAUGUAGGUCUUUCACAGUUAGCUUUGGGGAAUACUGAAUACUUAAAUAAAGUGCUUUGUUAUCAUUUCAGAGGGAAUGGCGUUUGAAAUGUUACAACAGAGAUUUCUUGGUGGUAGCUAUUUGGGUAAAGGUAUAUGGGUAUUUUUCUGUACGUGUGAAAUUAUAUAAAAAUAAAAGUUACAUAAAUUACAUUGACAACUUGA